Molecule: ribosomal RNA, 496 nt
Filed under: uncultured bacterium
Lineage: Bacteria
Description: partial 16S ribosomal RNA
Rfam family: Bacterial small subunit ribosomal RNA
Source: RNAcentral
GAUGAACGCUGGCGGCGUGCCUAAUACAUGCAAGUCGAGCGAACAGACGAGGAGCUUGCUCCUCUGACGUUAGCGGCGGACGGGUGAGUAACACGUGGAUAACCUACCUAUAAGACUGGGAUAACUUCGGGAAACCGGAGCUAAUACCGGAUAAUAUAUUGAACCGCAUGGUUCAAUAGUGAAAGACGGUUUUGCUGUCACUUAUAGAUGGAUCCGCGCCGCAUUAGCUAGUUGGUAAGGUAACGGCUUACCAAGGCAACGAUGCGUAGCCGACCUGAGAGGGUGAUCGGCCACACUGGAACUGAGACACGGUCCAGACUCCUACGGGAGGCAGCAGUAGGGAAUCUUCCGCAAUGGGCGAAAGCCUGACGGAGCAACGCCGCGUGAGUGAUGAAGGUCUUCGGAUCGUAAAACUCUGUUAUUAGGGAAGAACAAAUGUGUAAGUAACUAUGCACGUCUGGACGGUACCUAAGCAGAAAGCCACGGCUAACUACGG